This 458-nucleotide ribosomal RNA is filed under the name Cheumatopsyche longiclasper. RNAcentral describes it as "partial 28S ribosomal RNA". Lineage: Eukaryota; Metazoa; Arthropoda; Insecta; Trichoptera; Hydropsychidae. The record is from RNAcentral.
AUCAGGGGUAAACCUGUGGAACUCGAACGAGCGAACGGGGAGAUUCAUCGUUCUUCCUCGGGCCCGCGGUGCUGGGUUACGUUGCAGACUCGUCUGUGAUGARCCUUGUAUCGUUGCGGUUCUUGGAGUKCGUGCACUUCUCCCUUAGUAAAACACUGCGACCCGUUGAGAGGCCGGUCGAACGCAUCUUCAGUUGUCCCGUCUUCCCCGGAAGAAGGAGCUGUGGUGUCGUGGCUGGCGCUCGACGGUAACGAACGAGGUUUGCRUCCGCUUUURGCGUCCRCRRUGUGGCGGCGUCGYYCCCCUUCAGGUCUUCUGCGCGUAAGCGUCGUAAGUAUCUGUCGCGGUUGRUGGAGRCGGUUUUAAUCGUUYCCAUCGCGAGUGGCGUGUCUGCUGCUUUGCUUGGACGGGAUGCGUCCCGGUCUGCGGUGGUUUUGUUUCGGGCACUCACAGGACCC